UACGUAGGGUGCAAGCGUUGUUCGGAAUCACUGGGCGUAAAGGGAGUGUAGGCGGGAUCGUAAGUUAGGAGUUUAAUCCACGGGCUCAACUCGUGGUCUGCUUUUAAUACUGCGGUUCUUGAGUAUGGGAGAGGGCGAUGGAAUUCCAGGUGUAGCGGUGGAAUGCGUAGAUAUCUGGAAGAACACCAGUAGCGAAGGCGGUCGCCUGGCCCAAUACUGACGCUGAUACUCGAAAGCUAGGGGAG
RNAcentral lists this ribosomal RNA (245 nucleotides) under uncultured bacterium. Its description in RNAcentral is "partial 16S ribosomal RNA". It matches the Rfam family "Bacterial small subunit ribosomal RNA", at positions 524 to 768 of the family's 1533-position model. The record is from RNAcentral.